Long non-coding RNA from Stegodyphus dumicola, 4263 nucleotides. The record is from RefSeq and is a predicted model, not a curated record. Lineage: Eukaryota; Metazoa; Arthropoda; Arachnida; Araneae; Eresidae.
AAGUCGUUAAGGAAAUAAACGCCCAGUGUUAUGUAUAUUAAAAAUAAUAAAUAUAAUCUAGAUAAAAAUUAACUUUCAAAGGGCUUCGGUUUACAACUUGAAUGCAUAUAAAUGGAUUGGAUAUACAAAGGAAUAUAAUUCUGAACUUCUACUCAGAGCUUAAUUUCUAAAAUUAGAAGUGCCGGAGCCUAUGGAAGACCAUCAGCAAAGAGGAACAAAAUGAAAGAAGUUAAUCAACCAGGACAAAAGAAAUUGCAAGAAACUAGAUGUUAAAUAAACCUUGGGUUAGUUAUUGUUUGGAAAAGUAAAUAGGCAUUUCUGAAUUUAUUUCAUUCAGGAACAAUAAAAGUUUAUGUAAUUAUUUUGUCUAAACCAAGACCUGUUACUGAAGUGUUUCAGCAAUGAAGAAGAUGAGAAUGAUAAGAAAGUAAGACAAAAGCCUGAAAAUUUUUAGUAGAACUCAAGAGGUAUGAAAGGAACCUAAAUAGCUGCACACAAAAGGAAAAACGAUUUGCCAUUGAAACAUUGUUUAACAUAUUAUUUUCAGUAAUUUUACCUAUACUUUUUAAAACUGUUAUCUAAAUAAUUGGGAAUUCCCAGGGUAUGAAACCUCACUUUGAAGUAUGAAUAUUAAUAAAUUAUUAUAGUUUUCGGUAAUUUUAACUAUACUUUUUAAAACUGCUGUCUAAAUACUUGGGAAUUCCCACAGAAUGAAACCUCUCUUUGAAGUGUGAACACUAGUAAAUUAUUAUAGUUUUCAAAUGCUUCAGAACCAUAUAAUUUCAUUGUACGUUUUGAUUUUGUUUAAAUAUUUUUUCUGAUAAAUUGCAGCUUAUGUUGAAAGUAUUUUUUGUUCAUAUUUUUGUUAUGAUUUAUUUUUCCUAGAAUUUUGUAACCAAUUAAAAAAAUCAUUUAAUGAUAUUUAAAAAAAUACAUGCAUUAUUAAUGUUUGUUAUUUUUGUUCUUUCCUUACCAUCAGUCAAUUAUUUUGAAUGUAAUGAAUAAUAUAUUGAAUGUGUUCUCCAAAACAGGUUAUGGAUCUUCUAGUGAGACAGAUUUUAAUGAAAACUGCAGAAUCAUGGAAAAGAGACUUUCUGAAAUCACAAGUGAAAUGUUUCAGUGUAGUAACUGCUUUGAAUCCUUUCAGCUUCAUACACAGUUAUUAAAGCAUAUAUGUCCUGGAAAAUUGAAAAAUAGCAUAGCAUGUCAAGAUUGUGGCAAAACAUUCACUCGUCAGAGUAGUUUAGUUGACCACAUGCGUCUUCAUUCUGGAGUGAAGCCAUUCAAUUGUGGCUACUGUGGAAAAGCAUUUGCAAAAAAAUACAAUUUAUGUGUUCAUAUGAUGCGUCACAAAGGAGAAAAACCUUUUAAUUGCCAUAUGUGUUCUAAAUCAUAUAUACAAAAAAGUGAACUUAAGUUACACCUUCUAAGAAAUCAUCAGUGGCUAUGAUUUUAGUUUAAAAUGUAAAAAUUGCGCAGUGUGUUGUGUAAUUUGAUAUUUCAUAAUGGUCAUUUAUCAUGUGAUUUAACUUUGCAUUAUAUUGAUAUUUUUUGUGAAAUUUUAAAUUUUCCUUUUGUCAAAUUACCAUUAAUCAACUGAUACCCAUUGGAACAUAAGUAGUAUCAGCUAUAUAUGAUCUGUAUAUGCAACAAUGAGCUAAGAAAAUUUUAAUAAAACUCUUUAUCUUAUGAAAAGAAAAUAUCAAAUUUUGACCAAACAUUUUACUUUUAGAAAAACAAGAAAAUUUAAAUAAUUGUGCUUGAACAAGAAAACAUUAAAAAAAUAAUGAAAACUCGUUAAAAUUUACAAAAUUUAGCAGUCAUAGAAAUAAAAUAAAAUGAGAAGUAAAUUGAAUUACGUGGCAUAAUCUAUGCCUAAAGUUGCCUCACAUUAUUAUUUUCUUCCACAUCGGUUGAUCUUCUAGGAGGUUCUAAGGCCAAGCAAUGGUUUUCAAAAAAGCUUUUUGAGGAUUAGGAUGUAAUUUUCUUAAAAUGUUUCCAAUUUAAGUAUAUGUCAUUAAAUCCAAAAUAUGGUAUUUAAUUCAAAAAAAAAAAAAAAAAUCUUGUGGCAGUCCUGUUUAUUGUGCCUGAAAGCUUGUUUAGCUCAAAUAAUAGUGAUAGUUUCCAUAUGCACUUUUCCUGUUAAAAGCCAUCUCAUAAAAAUCCUGAGAAUCAUUUUCUGGCACCUGUCUAAAUUUAAAAUUGCCAAUAAACCAUUUGACCAAGCUAAAAUGAAACCUGAUUUAAUACUCGUAAUUUUUAAGAAAAGAAAGAUUAAUAUAAGUCGGUAUGUGAUUAUAACAUGUGUUUUUGUUAAAAUGAAUAAGCAAGCAAAUAAAUAGAACCUGAGCCUUACAAAUUAGAGAAAAAUUUAAAAAAGAAUUCUCAUGAGCCUCCUAAAGUUCACCACUGCAUAUACCUCAAAAUCCAAAAAAAGUCUUCAGAUUCAAAAUUACAUGCGUACCAGUUACUGCUCGCAAAAUGAGUUCAGAGUGCCAGCUGAGUGAGACUGACCAUUAUAUGGUGUUGGACUUAAUGAUUCACUCAUUUUAUUUGUAAGAUUUCUGGGAAUCUCUAGGCACUAUGAGCAAAAGUGGUAAAUUAGAAAGAUGAAGGAGUCAUAAAACUCUAAUCCUGGCCUGAGAAUCUGAAAAUAUUGAUAGUUUGGGAUUAUCAAUGCUUUUCGCAUGUGAUAUAGAUAAACCAACAGACCUCAUUAAAAACUUUAGGUACAGACUUUUGAUUGGCUUCAGGAAAUGAUGUCAGAUUUAGUUGUAUCUGUCUAGAAGUAUUUGCAGUUGGAUUCCAUUGCUGGGCUGUAGCACAUAUACCAAUGUUCACUACAAGAAAUUUUGCCCCCCAGUUGUGGUGAUGUAAAGUGUGUCACCAAUGGACAGUAAAUCAGUGAGAGAACUUCUUGUGAAAAGUGGAAUCACACUAAAUAUUACGAAGAUCAAUGGCAGUUACGAGGGGAUCACAGCUUACUAAAUGCAUUGCGCCCAUUGGGAAAUAUGGCAGAAAAAGCAUUUCAGUGCGAGUCUGUUUUACUUGGUUUCAAUUUCAUCCACUACUUUUUGUGCUUGUAACUAACACUGAAUGCUAGCUAACUGAGUGAUUAAACUGGACAAUUCCAUUCUGCCAUAAAACACUUAUUCAUUAAGCAAGCAUCCUAGCUGGCUGGUUUGAGAAGGUGGAAGUAAAAGAACUAGAUUUAGCUAGCCCAAAGCUCUGAUCACAAUACAACUGAGCAUUUUGGGAAUGAAGUGAAGUAGUGGCUGUGAGUUUAACAUAAUUGCCCAAAAACUAACAUAGAGCUAUUCAUCAUGCUAAAGAAGGGAAUGAUGCAAAAUACCUUUAGAUAGUUAUUGAAACUUAGUAGGAGAGAUAGCAGAAGCUGAGAUGGCAGUAAAUGACAAACCUGUAUUUUACCAAUACCAUUUGCGCUUCAAAUAAGCAUAGUUCUAUGGGUGUCGGGUUAUUAUUGGCAAAUUUAAUCUUUGAAUUUAAUUCGAGAUAAAUUCAGUAAAGCUAUUUUACUUACUAAUUUUAAAUUUUUUGUUUAUUGUUUUUAUUAGAUUUAUUGCUGUAUUUGAUAGUUUGCUGUAAAAAUGUACUGUUGUUUCUAUUUUUAUCUGUGUAUCUGUGUUUAGAGUAUUAACAUGUGUUUUAACUAUUACAUAAAUUAAUUUUAUUGUUGACUUUGAUGGACUAAGCUGGAAUAAUGUCAUCUGACAAGAGCUGCAGUGUACCUCUAAAGGGCCGUUCAGAUUAGGGUUUAUCUGAGCUAAUGGAGACAUCUGACGUAGUUGACCUAUCUCCAAAACCAGUUUUUUCCCAUAGGGUAGCAAGUUGAAAAAUCUGAACUGCAUGCAUAGCGGAGCUAGUUGACAUAUAAAACUGAUUCCAUUAGCUCAGGUAAACCCCAGUCUGAACAGCCCUUAAGUGUUCUGCAAAUUUCAGAGUAAUGAUUUAGUUUGAUUUGCAUUAAUAUAUUUUUGAAUGAGUAUAAACUAAUUAGUCACAUUAGUAGCUAAUUAAUUUUUGUCUAUUAAAAAGCUAAAUACAACUUAAUUUGUAUUUGCAGUUUUAUACUUUAACUGGUCAGGUAGUAGUUUAUAGCUAGGCUAUAUGUAUAAGAGUGAAAAAUUUACUAUUUAUGAUGUUUUUCAUGAAAUCUUGUUCAAAUUUGUUUUUAUAAAAUUAAGUAAAACCUCUAAUUGUAAAAUUUUAUUUUUUUAUCUGAAAAUUCAAUAGUGCAUAAAA